UACGGGGGGAGCAAGCGUUGUUCGGAAUUACUGGGCGUAAAGGGCUCGUAGGCGGCCAACUAAGUCAGACGUGAAAUCCCCAGGCUCAACCUGGGAACUGCGUCUGAUACUGGAUGGCUUGAAUCCGGGAGAGGGAUGCAGAAUUCCAGGUGUAGCGGUGAAAUGCGUAGAUAUCUGGAGGAAUACCGGUGGCGAAGGCGGCAUCCUGGACCGGCAUUGACGCUGAGGAGCGAAAGCCAGGGGAGCAAACGGG
This 253-nucleotide ribosomal RNA is filed under the name uncultured bacterium. Its description in RNAcentral is "partial 16S ribosomal RNA". It matches the Rfam family "Bacterial small subunit ribosomal RNA", at positions 524 to 776 of the family's 1533-position model. The record is from RNAcentral.